CACGUAGGCGGAUCGUUAAGUCGGGGGUGAAAUCCUGGAGCUCAACUCCAGAACUGCCUUCGAUACUGGCGAUCUUGAGUCCGGAAGAGGUGAGUGGAACUCCUAGUGUAGAGGUGGAAUUCGUAGAUAUUAGGAAGAACACCAGUGGCGAAGGCGGCUCACUGGUCCGGUACUGACGCUGAGGUGCGAAAGCGUGGGGAGCAAACA
RNAcentral lists this ribosomal RNA (207 nucleotides) under uncultured bacterium. RNAcentral's name for it is "partial 16S ribosomal RNA". It matches the Rfam family "Bacterial small subunit ribosomal RNA", at positions 568 to 774 of the family's 1533-position model. The record is from RNAcentral.